GAUGAAGAACGUAGUGAAAUGCGAUAAGUAAUGUGAAUUGCAGAAUUCAGUGAAUCAUCGAAUCUUUGAACGCACAUUGCGCCCCCCAGUAUUCUGGCGGGCAUGCCUAUUCGAGCGUCAUUUCAACCAUCAAGCCCUGCUUGUGUUGGGGUCCUGCGGCUGCCCGCAGGCCCUGAAAACCAGUGGCGGGCUCGCUAGUCACACCGAGCGCAGUAGCACAUCUCGCUCAGGGCGUGCGGCGGGCUCCAGCCGUUAAAGCACCCACCUUUCGCAAGGUUGACCUCGGAUCAGGUAGGAAUACCCGCUGAACUUAAGCAUAUCAAUAAGCGGAGGA
This 334-nucleotide unclassified non-coding RNA is filed under the name soil metagenome. Its description in RNAcentral is "partial contains 5.8S ribosomal RNA, internal transcribed spacer 2, and large subunit ribosomal RNA". The stretch from base 1 to 120 matches the Rfam family "5.8S ribosomal RNA", at positions 35 to 154 of the family's 154-position model. The record is from RNAcentral.